UGCAGUCGAGUUAGAUUCAGUCCCUGUUGUCGUGGCGGGAACUGGCCCAGAUGGCUGCCACAACAAGUUCUGCUUCUCAUGGGCCCUGGGUCCCCUGUCCUGGGACCUGGGGAUAAGUUUAACUGAGACAUUG
Molecule: small nucleolar RNA, 133 nt
Organism: Meriones unguiculatus (Mongolian gerbil)
Lineage: Eukaryota; Metazoa; Chordata; Mammalia; Rodentia; Muridae
Source: Ensembl